RNAcentral lists this ribosomal RNA (459 nucleotides) under uncultured bacterium. RNAcentral's name for it is "partial 16S ribosomal RNA". It matches the Rfam family "Bacterial small subunit ribosomal RNA", at positions 338 to 795 of the family's 1533-position model. The record is from RNAcentral.
CCUACGGGAGGCAGCAGUGAGGAAUAUUGGUCAAUGGGCGAGAGCCUGAACCAGCCAAGUCGCGUGCGGGAUGACGGCCCUACGGGUCGUAAACCGCUUUUGCCCGGGGGCAACACCCUCCACUUGUGGGCUUCUGCAGUUACCGUGCGAAUAAGGGCCGGCGAAUUCCGUUCCAGACGCCCGGGUAAUCCGGGGGGCCGGGGGGUUUCCCGGUUUCAUUGGGCUUAAAGGGAGGGUAGGCGGGUGUUCAAGUCAGGUGUAAAAUCGCGCGGCUCAACCCCGCCCCGCAGUUGAAACUGGGGGUCUUGAGUGCACGAGAGGUAGGCGGAAUGCGUGGUGUAGCGGUGAAAUGCAUAGAUAUCACGAAGAACCCCGAUUGCGAAGGCAGCCUGCCGGGGUGCGACUGACGCUGAGGCUCGAAGGUGCGGGUAUCAAACAGGAUUAGAUACCCGGGUAGUC